RNAcentral lists this ribosomal RNA (465 nucleotides) under Vreelandella stevensii. Its description in RNAcentral is "partial 16S ribosomal RNA". It matches the Rfam family "Bacterial small subunit ribosomal RNA", at positions 338 to 795 of the family's 1533-position model. The record is from RNAcentral. Lineage: Bacteria; Pseudomonadati; Pseudomonadota; Gammaproteobacteria; Oceanospirillales; Halomonadaceae.
CCUACGGGGGGCUGCAGUGGGGAAUAUUGGACAAUGGGGGCAACCCUGAUCCAGCCAUGCCGCGUGUGUGAAGAAGGCCCUCGGGUUGUAAAGCACUUUCAGUGAGGAAGAACGCCUGGUGGUUAAUACCCAUCAGGAAAGACAUCACUCACAGAAGAAGCACCGGCUAACUCCGUGCCAGCAGCCGCGGUAAUACGGAGGGUGCGAGCGUUAAUCGGAAUUACUGGGCGUAAAGCGCGCGUAGGUGGCUUGAUAAGCCGGUUGUGAAAGCCCCGGGCUCAACCUGGGAACGGCAUCCGGAACUGUCAAGCUAGAGUGCAGGAGAGGAAGGUAGAAUUCCCGGUGUAGCGGUGAAAUGCGUAGAGAUCGGGAGGAAUACCAGUGGCGAAGGAGGCCUUCUGGACUGACACUGACACUGAGGUGCGAAAGCGUGGGUAGCAAACAGGAUUAGAUACCCGAGUAGUC